UACGUAGGGCGCAAGCGUUGUCCGGAAUUAUUGGGCGUAAAGAGCUCGUAGGCGGCUUGUCACGUCGGCUGUGAAAACCCGGGGCUCAACCCCGGGCCUGCAGUCGAUACGGGCAGGCUAGAGUUCGGUAGGGGAGACUGGAAUUCCCGGUGUAGCGGUGAAAAUGCGCAGAUAUCGGGAGGAACACCGGUGGCGAAGGCGGGGUCUCUGGGCCGAAACUGACGCUGAGGAGCGAAAGCGUGGGGAGCAAACAGG
This 255-nucleotide ribosomal RNA is filed under the name uncultured bacterium. RNAcentral describes it as "partial 16S ribosomal RNA". It matches the Rfam family "Bacterial small subunit ribosomal RNA", at positions 524 to 776 of the family's 1533-position model. The record is from RNAcentral.